Equus quagga is the source of this 2047-nucleotide long non-coding RNA. RefSeq lists it as uncharacterized. The transcript has 4 exons. The record is from RefSeq and is a predicted model, not a curated record. NCBI's taxonomy places the organism in Eukaryota, Metazoa, Chordata, Mammalia, Perissodactyla, Equidae.
UGUGCCUCCUCUGUGUUUUUUCACAUUAGUCAAUUAUAAGCAGUGGAUAGUCUCAAGUAUCUUUGUUCUCAUUUCCCAGCUUGAAAAUAGCUGGAAAGUAAUGUCAUUAUCCUUAUGGACGUGAAGAGAAGCUUCAUUGGAUUCCAGGAAGUUUGAAAACAAACGAAUACUCAAGGACAGAAUAAUUCUAACCCUUGGUGGGGAUUUUCACCAGAACCUGGUUCCUGAAAAGCUUUACCUCAAAAAUGGCUAUGACUGAAUUCCUAACAGGAGUUUUCUCUGAGCACCAUGUGACCCUAGGAGAUGAAAUAAGAUUGUUUUGGCUGCCAAGGAGGAGUGACAUCAGUAUCAUGGUGGCAUAAGAUGUUUCUCAUUUUUGUCCCCCACCCCUAACAAGAACACUUCAUCAUCCAUCCAUGAACAAAAGCCUUUGUAGGAGUUGUGGGAUCCAGCACUGAUCUCCAAGGGACCUGGGAGGAGUCUCGCCCACAUGUGCACUGGUAAUAGGCAGACAGACCUUGGUCCUGGCUAUUAGCCCUAUAGUGACCCAUGAGCCAGCUCCAGUACCUCUCAAGUCUGGUCUGGGAGCUCCUGGAGAACACUGACUUUGACAAUCACUGAUGGAUGAGAGAGCCUUUGUGGAAGUCCAGGUUUCCAGAGGAGAAGUUCCAGCAAUCUGCGAGGGCAAAAAGAUAGGUUUGCAUGGAGUGGGUAAGAGAAAUAGCUUGACUUUACCUGCAUCACCCCCUAAUCAAGCCAGCACAGCUUCAGACCAAAGGAAACCUUCUUGGCCUGUGAUUUCUUCUCUAGGAGAAAGGAAGAGCCUAUGAGUGAGCAUUUGGCUUCCCCAGUUGUGUGAGACACUGCCAAAAAGGUGCAUUUCCCAUCCAGAAUACUACAUUGGGAGCUCCAUGAGUUGGGGGUAGGAAGAGUCUGGGAGAGCAAUAGAUAGGACUCACAGAGGGCAUUAAAGGGACAUGGAUCCUACCAACUGUGCCAUGGACUCCAUGAAGAAGCUUGCCCAUAAGCUGUUGGGAUCACCAAUGGAUCACCCAAACUGGCCCACAGGCACUACCAACGCCCUAUGUGCCUCACCUGCUUUCCCUCUAUGCCCAAUGGCAGGCUCCCUGUGUGCCUUCCUGAGGGCCAUGGUGAAAACCAGCCAUGGAAGAUAGCUGGCGACCACAUGCAGAAAGCAGACCCAAAACUGCAGACCGGAGAGAGAUCACACACUUGAGCUGUAGUGCCAUCCUUUGGGAAAACAAAAGAGAGACUAUCAGCACUUGGCCUGGUGCAUUGCAGAAUCCAGAGAAGGCAUACAGGCUUAAGAAUUCUGCCAUAAGAGGGAACAAGAAGCACGGAGUGGGUAUAUCCAUAGAAGGUCUGAGAAAUUCUCAAAAUAUCCAGCAGGGCUAAUGGAAAGUAUUUACCCUUGAAGGGAUGGAAGAUUGGUUUAUUGACUUGCAAUCUUCCUUCUUUUCUUAAUAUAGGCAUUUACAAGUAUACAUUUCCCUCUAGGAACUACUUUUGCUGCUUCUUGUAAGUUUUGGUAUGCAGUGUUUUUGUUUUGUUCACCUCAAAGUAUUUUGUAAUUUCCUUGUGAUUUCUUCUUUGGCACAAUGGAAUGUAUUAUUUAAUUUCCUCAUAUUUUAAAUUCCUCAAAUUUCCUUCUGUUAUUGAUUUCUAAUUUAAUUCCAUAGUGGUUGGGGAACAUUCAUUUGUGAUUUCAACCCUUUUCAAUUCAUUGAGGCUUGUUUUAUGGCCUAACACGUGAUCUAUCCUGGGUAAUGACCCACAAAUACUAGAAAAGAAUGCACAUUGUGAUGUUGCUGGGUAGACUGUACUGUUCGUAUCCGUUGGGUUUAACUGGUUUACAGCGUUGUUCAAGUCUUCUGUUUCACCAUUGAUCUUCUCUCUACCCACUGUAUCCAUUGUUGAAAGUGAGAUAAUUUAGUCUGCAGCUAGUAUUUUUUUUUUUUAAAGAUUUUAUUUUUUUCCUUUUUCUCCCCAAAGUCCCCCGGUACAUAGUUGUGUAUUCUUCGUUGUG